Molecule: ribosomal RNA, 468 nt
Filed under: uncultured bacterium
Lineage: Bacteria
Description: partial 16S ribosomal RNA
Rfam family: Bacterial small subunit ribosomal RNA
Source: RNAcentral
GACGAACGCUGGCGGCGUGCUUAACACAUGCAAGUCGAACGGAAAGGCCCUGCUUUUGUGGGGUGCUCGAGUGGCGAACGGGUGAGUAACACGUGAGUAACCUGCCCUUGACUUUGGGAUAACUUCAGGAAACUGGGGCUAAUACCGGAUAGGAGCUCCUGCGGCAUGGUGGGGGUUGGAAAGUUUCGGCGGUUGGGGAUGGACUCGCGGCUUAUCAGCUUGUUGGUGGGGUAGUGGCUUACCAAGGCUUUGACGGGUAGCCGGCCUGAGAGGGUGACCGGCCACAUUGGGACUGAGAUACGGCCCAGACUCCUACGGGAGGCAGCAGUGGGGAAUAUUGCACAAUGGGCGGAAGCCUGAUGCAGCAGCGCCGCGUGCGGGAUGACGGCCUUCGGGUUGUAAACCGCUUUCGCAUGUGACGAAGCGUGAGUGACGGUAAUGGGUAAAGAAGCACCGGCUAACUACGUG